AAAUUGAAGAGUUUGAUCAUGGCUCAGAUUGAACGCUGGCGGCAGGCCUAACACAUGCAAGUCGAGCGGUAGCACAGAGAGCUUGCUCUCGGGUGACGAGCGGCGGACGGGUGAGUAAUGUCUGGGAAACUGCCUGAUGGAGGGGGAUAACUACUGGAAACGGUAGCUAAUACCGNAUNNNNNCGCAAGACCAAAGUGGGGGACCUUCNGGCCUCAUGCCAUCAGAUGUGCCCAGAUGGGAUUAGCUAGUAGGUGGGGUAACGGCUCACCUAGGCGACGAUCCCUAGCUGGUCUGAGAGGAUGACCAGCCACACUGGAACUGAGACACGGUCCAGACUCCUACGGGAGGCAGCAGUGGGGAAUAUUGCACAAUGGGCGCAAGCCUGAUGCAGCCAUGCCGCGUGUGUGAAGAAGGCCUUCGGGUUGUAAAGCACUUUCAGCGGGGAGGAAGGCGNAAGGUNNNNNNNNNNNNNNNNNNCGUUACCCGCAGAAGAAGCACCGGCUAACUCCGUGCCAGCAGCCGCGGUAAUACGGAGGGUGCAAGCGUUAAUCGGAAUUACUGGGCGUAAAGCGCACGCAGGCGGUCUGUCAAGUCGGAUGUGAAAUCCCCGGGCUCAACCUGGGAACUGCAUUCGAAACUGGCAGGCUAGAGUCUUGUAGAGGGGGGUAGAAUUCCAGGUGUAGCGGUGAAAUGCGUAGAGAUCUGGAGGAAUACCGGUGGCGAAGGCGGCCCCCUGGACAAAGACUGACGCUCAGGUGCGAAAGCGUGGGGAGCAAACAGGAUUAGAUACCCUGGUAGUCCACGCCGUAAACGAUGUCGAUUUGGAGGUUGUGCCCUUGAGGCGUGGCUUCCGGAGCUAACGCGUUAAAUCGACCGCCUGGGGAGUACGGCCGCAAGGUUAAAACUCAAAUGAAUUGACGGGGGCCCGCACAAGCGGUGGAGCAUGUGGUUUAAUUCGAUGCAACGCGAAGAACCUUACCUGGUCUUGACAUCCACAGAACUUNNCAGAGAUGNNUUGGUGCCUUCGGGAACUGUGAGACAGGUGCUGCAUGGCUGUCGUCAGCUCGUGUUGUGAAAUGUUGGGUUAAGUCCCGCAACGAGCGCAACCCUUAUCCUUUGUUGCCAGCGGUNNGGCCGGGAACUCAAAGGAGACUGCCAGUGAUAAACUGGAGGAAGGUGGGGAUGACGUCAAGUCAUCAUGGCCCUUACGACCAGGGCUACACACGUGCUACAAUGGCAUAUACAAAGAGAAGCGACCUCGCGAGAGCAAGCGGACCUCAUAAAGUAUGUCGUAGUCCGGAUUGGAGUCUGCAACUCGACUCCAUGAAGUCGGAAUCGCUAGUAAUCGUAGAUCAGAAUGCUACGGUGAAUACGUUCCCGGGCCUUGUACACACCGCCCGUCACACCAUGGGAGUGGGUUGCAAAAGAAGUAGGUAGCUUAACCUUCGGGAGGGCGCUUACCACUUUGUGAUUCAUGACUGGGGUGAAGUCGUAACAAGGUAACCGUAGGGGAACCUGCGGUUGGAUCACCUCCUUA
RNAcentral lists this ribosomal RNA (1538 nucleotides) under Klebsiella pneumoniae. Its description in RNAcentral is "16S ribosomal RNA". It matches the Rfam family "Bacterial small subunit ribosomal RNA". Lineage: Bacteria; Pseudomonadati; Pseudomonadota; Gammaproteobacteria; Enterobacterales; Enterobacteriaceae. The record is from RNAcentral.